AACGAACGCUGGCGGCAUGCCUAACACAUGCAAGUCGAACGAGACCUUCGGGUCUAGUGGCGCACGGGUGCGUAACGCGUGGGAACCUGCCCUUAGGUUCGGAAUAACUCCCCGAAAGGGGUGCUAAUACCGGAUAAUGUCUUCGGACCAAAGAUUUAUCGCCUUUGGAUGGGCCCGCGUUGGAUUAGCUAGUUGGUAGGGUAAAAGCCUACCAAGGCGACGAUCCAUAGCUGGUCUGAGAGGAUGAUCAGCCACACUGGGACUGAGUCACGGCCCAGACUCCUACGGGAGGCAGAAGUGGGGAAUAUUGGACAAUGGGCGAAAGCCUGAUCCAGCAAUGCCGCGUGAGUGAUGAAGGCCUUAGGGUUGUAAAGCUCUUUUACCCGGGAUGAUAAUGACAGUACCGGGAGAAUAAGCUCCGGCUAACUCCGUG
RNAcentral lists this ribosomal RNA (433 nucleotides) under uncultured bacterium. Its description in RNAcentral is "partial 16S ribosomal RNA". It matches the Rfam family "Bacterial small subunit ribosomal RNA", at positions 29 to 507 of the family's 1533-position model. The record is from RNAcentral.